UACGUAGGGGGCAAGCGUUGUCCGGAAUCACUGGGCGUAAAGGGCGCGUAGGCGGUAUAUUAAGUCAGGUGUGAAAGUUUUCGGCUCAACCGGAAAAGUGCACUUGAAACUAAUUUACUUGAGUACUGGAGAGGUAAGCGGAAUUCCUAGUGUAGCGGUGAAAUGCGUAGAUAUUAGGAAGAACACCGGUGGCGAAGGCGGCUUACUGGACAGAGACUGACGCUGAGGCGCGAAAGCGUGGGGAGCAAACAGGAUUAGAUACCCUGGUAGUCCACGCCGUAAACGAUGAGUAUUAGGUGUUGCCGAGAGGCAGUGCCGGAGUUAACACAAUAAAUACUCCGCCUGGGGAGUACGGUCGCAAGACUGAA
RNAcentral lists this ribosomal RNA (368 nucleotides) under uncultured bacterium. RNAcentral's name for it is "bacterial SSU rRNA". It matches the Rfam family "Bacterial small subunit ribosomal RNA", at positions 524 to 898 of the family's 1533-position model. The record is from RNAcentral.